UUCCUACGGGACGCAGCAGUGGGGAAUAUUGCACAAUGGGGGGAACCCUGAUGCAGCGACGCCGCGUGAAGGAAGAAGUAUUUCGGUAUGUAAACUUCUAUCAGCAGGGAAGAAAAAGGACGGUACCUGAGUAAGAAGCACCGGCUAAAUACGUGCCAGCAGCCGCGGUAAUACGUAUGGUGCAAGCGUUAUCCGGAUUUACUGGGUGUAAAGGGAGCGCAGGCGGUGCGGCAAGUCUGAUGUGAAAGCCCGGGGCUCAACCCCGGGACUGCAUUGGAAACUACCGAACUCGAGUGUCGGAGAGG
This 305-nucleotide ribosomal RNA is filed under the name uncultured bacterium. RNAcentral describes it as "bacterial SSU rRNA". It matches the Rfam family "Bacterial small subunit ribosomal RNA", at positions 336 to 657 of the family's 1533-position model. The record is from RNAcentral.